This is a long non-coding RNA of Lynx canadensis (Canada lynx), 965 nucleotides long. RefSeq lists it as uncharacterized. NCBI's taxonomy places the organism in Eukaryota, Metazoa, Chordata, Mammalia, Carnivora, Felidae. The record is from RefSeq and is a predicted model, not a curated record. The transcript is spliced from 3 exons.
CCUUUUCUGUAAAAUUCUAUGCCUGGCCAUUUCCUGUGCGGGUGCACUAGGAUUCCAUUGUUUCUUAGAGGAGACGUCAGCCCGGAUCCCGUUUUAGAACCAGUAGAAUUGUGCACCGCUGAUGUUUGCUUCACUGUAUAAGCUGGUUUACUCGGAAUAUUCGGGAUUUUUGCUGGAAUCCAAGUGGUCUUUCAGAGAAACCGAUGAUUUUUCUGAUGAAGCUGUUCACACGCUUUUGAAGCCAGUGAGAAUGGGUUGUAUAGACACCAAGACUGUAUGAAGGUAUGAAAUUGUCUUGGUAAGACGAAGUUAAAAUUGGGGCCACCACACAAGCAAACAUGGACAUCACCUGUAUCUGGAGUCUCAAAGUCAUGAAAUACGCAGUGUUUGAAAGGAUACGAGAAAUACAUUGAUUUGAUUUGAUUUUUUUCUUUUGGCCAUCCUUCGUGUUACAAAACAGUUGAAGCUAGUAUCAUUCAAGCACGGAGUGUAAGUGAUCGGUGAGGCUGGAUGGAGGAAAGGCAAAAGAAAUGAAUUUGAAGGACAAAAAAACAAAAAACAAAAACAAAACAAAAACACAUAUCCUUCGAAGACCUCCCUGUCUCGAGGACAGAAAAUGCCUUGGCAGUCGCGAUUUUGUGCAGUCAGAAGGGAGCUGAUUUCCCAGCUGUUCUGGUGUAUUUUCCUUAUUAGUCUUUGCUCCCACGGUCUAAAAGCAAAUACCGGAUCUAAGCGCCUACAGUACUGGUCAAGGACUGCAGCUUCCUCGUGUGUGACUCACAGGCGCGAGCAAACCACCUACUGUAACAGCUGGCCCCAGACCCUGGCCCGGCCACAGCACAGCAGCUGCUUUGCUGGACCCCUGCUUGCUUGGCUAUUAACUGUCUUAACUGUUGCUCUUACCUUUAUGGGCUGUGGUAAAGGCAGGCUUUAUUUAUUUAUGUUUGUUUGUUUUUGAGAGAGAG